GCAUUGGUUUUUCAGUGGUAGAAUUCUCGCCUGCCACGCGGGAGGCCCGGGUUCGAUUCCCGGCCAAUGCA
RNAcentral lists this transfer RNA (71 nucleotides) under Salmo salar (Atlantic salmon). It matches the Rfam family "tRNA". Rfam says of the family: Transfer RNA (tRNA) molecules are approximately 80 nucleotides in length. Their secondary structure includes four short double-helical elements and three loops (D, anti-codon, and T loops). Further hydrogen bonds mediate the characteristic L-shaped molecular structure. tRNAs have two regions of fundamental functional importance: the anti-codon, which is responsible for specific mRNA codon recognition, and the 3' end, to which the tRNAs corresponding amino acid is attached (by aminoacyl-tRNA synthetases). tRNAs cope with the degeneracy of the genetic code in two manners: having more than one tRNA (with a specific anti-codon) for a particular amino acid; and 'wobble' base-pairing, i.e. permitting non-standard base-pairing at the 3rd anti-codon position. Lineage: Eukaryota; Metazoa; Chordata; Actinopteri; Salmoniformes; Salmonidae. The record is from Rfam by way of RNAcentral. RNAcentral also lists the same sequence under 1 other name.